CAAUCCAUCGCUCCGGCAGGCUGGCUUCACGAUCGAAACCACGUACCCGCGAGAGGUGACAAUUCGCCAGAGAAAAACAGCGCAGCAGGUUGAAAGUUCUGCUGGAAGGUGAGCCAAAAAUGGUGGAACAGGCCAAUACCUACAAGAAACCUGUAAAUGGAGCAGAGCAAGUUACGCUUUUGCUUCAACAGAACGGAGCAAGUUACAAUUCUGAACAUUCAGAGAGGAGAGAAAAUUCUGUUGAUAAAGAUAAACCAGAGGUGGCGAAGAAGGGGAAAAUUUAUAAAGUUCUCUUAGCUGUCUCCGUUUUCAUUAUUAUCAUCGGCCUUUCAGUUGCUGUUGGUGAGUUCUGUUCCCUUGUUCUGUUUCCUUGACUGCCACCUUAUGGACAUUGUUUGCUUCUGUGCCUUAACAGGCAGAACAGUGGGAUCUUGGCAAACACGCAUUUGUAUGCCUUUUUGCCAAGGUAACACAAAUGUGGAGGAAACAGGUGGCAUUCUCAGGGAGAUGGGGCUUCUCUCCCACGUAAUCAAUUUCCCCCUGAAAUGGUUGCCCAUGAAUUGGUAUUUUGCAGUGUGCAGAGGACCGCAGGCUUAGCUUCCAUAAGACCAGCAGGAGACGGCUCUGGCAAUGACUAUAAUGUAUCACGGUUUUAAGACUACAAUGCCCACUUGACUGAUCAAUGGAAAGCCUUUUUAAUCAACUAAAAUUUCUCCUGUGUUUAAUCAGGGCAGCAGCCCAACCCCCGAUUUAAUAUGGGCGUCAGGCACCAUUUUAGAAGAGGCUUUCUGUUUUGGGCAGACAAAAGACAUUCCUCUUAUAUUGCCUUAUAUUGUUUGGGUUUUCCAGGCCACAGCUGAACUUCUGGGGAUGAGGGCCGCUGAUGGGCAGGGCCAGGGCGAAAAAGGGGCAACACAACAGGUGUGGUUCUUAGUUUUGUACAGUAGACCACACACCAGCUAGAGCAGCAACAGGCUAACAGGCUAACAUCAGAGCCUUUAGGGAAAUUGUCAGGUAUAAGUGUCACUCAAUUUAAUAGAUAUUGCUUGAAAAUUAGACUGCAGUCCUGUACCACAGGGAGGCAGAACCCUUUUUGAGCAUCAUAUGAAACCUUCCAGUAUGUGUGGAACAAAGUAUGUAUCUACUAGUUCACUUUGCAUUUAGUUCAAAGUUUAAUUCAAUUUCUUCUGAAUGACCAUUGGCAAAAAAUUUUUUAUAAAAAGAUCAGCAUCCAGAACGUUAUAAACUGCUGUGUUGAUAUAUAAAUUAUACUUAAGAAGACUAAGGAAACAUCAAGGCACACAGAUAGUAGAAUGUUUAGUUUAUUUCCCCCAGCAAUUAUUAUAUUUUAGCUUCAAGGCCCAAAGAGUUUUGGAGAGUUAAGAACAAAUAUAAGAGAAUGAACUUGAAGAUAGAUUAGAAAUUGUGUGCUUCAGAGAUUAUUAUUAUUUUAACAAAUUCAGUGGAUUUUGCAUUUUUUUUACUUUCUCUUCUGCUCUAUUUUCUAAAGCAAAAAAGGGAUUCCUUUACUACUUGUGUGGAAAAGUACAAAGCUAUAUUCUAGUCAAGCAAAAGACAGAGGCU
Molecule: long non-coding RNA, 1584 nt
Organism: Podarcis raffonei (Aeolian wall lizard)
Lineage: Eukaryota; Metazoa; Chordata; Lepidosauria; Squamata; Lacertidae
Exons: 3
Source: RefSeq, a predicted model, not a curated record